GGAGAGUUGGCUCAGUGGUUAAGAGCACUGGUUGCUGUUCCAGAGAACCUGGGUUCAAUUCCCAAUUCACAA
RNAcentral lists this transfer RNA (72 nucleotides) under Cricetulus griseus (Chinese hamster). It matches the Rfam family "tRNA". Rfam says of the family: Transfer RNA (tRNA) molecules are approximately 80 nucleotides in length. The record is from Rfam by way of RNAcentral. Lineage: Eukaryota; Metazoa; Chordata; Mammalia; Rodentia; Cricetidae.